CCGAGUUUACAACUCCCAAACCCCUGUGAACAUACCCUUAUGUUGCCUUCGGCGGAUCAGCCCCAGUCUGCCCGUAAAGCUGGACCAGGCGCCCGCCGGCAGGAACCCUAAACUCUGUUUAUUUAUGUGAUACUUCUGACGUAUAAACAAGCAAAUAAAUUCA
Molecule: unclassified non-coding RNA, 163 nt
Filed under: soil metagenome
Description: partial internal transcribed spacer 1
Source: RNAcentral